RNAcentral lists this transfer RNA (69 nucleotides) under Diodora graeca. Its description in RNAcentral is "tRNA-Val". It matches the Rfam family "tRNA". Rfam says of the family: Transfer RNA (tRNA) molecules are approximately 80 nucleotides in length. Their secondary structure includes four short double-helical elements and three loops (D, anti-codon, and T loops). The record is from RNAcentral. Lineage: Eukaryota; Metazoa; Mollusca; Gastropoda; Lepetellida; Fissurellidae.
UAGAGUAUAGCAUAAGUGGAAUGUACUUCGCUUACACCGAAGUGAUGGCGGGUUGUCUGCCUAUUCUAA